GGCGGGUCCGGCCGCGGAACCUGCGCCUGCGCCCGCGCUGCGGACGCGGCGACCGGUUUUUCUGACCCAGCUGGAAGGGCCGGCGCAGGUGGCCUCGAGUGCGUGUUCCUCUUGGCCUCUGAUGUCUGCGAGGGGAAUUCAGCAACAGCGACUCCUGUCUGGUGCUCUGACCCCAGCUUCCUCAAUCCAGGCUCUAGAGAGGCGCCCUCAGCCGAGCCCCGGGGUCCCGCGGGCCGCGGACCCUCCCUCCCUUUCCCUGCUCUGCACCCCGGGCCGGCGCUCCGUCCUGGGCGGAUGCCCCUCUGCGCCCUGUGGGCCCGCGCCGGCGCUUGUCCCCGUCCCGACCUGGGUUGGCCAUCACCCUGCGUUGGGUCGGGGGCUGUGUUUGUGCUUUCUGGCAUUGUAUUCGGCCCCGAGCGCUUACUGGACACUCAACAAAUGGCUGUCCCUUCUCUGGCUGCUGUCUGCUAGCCCUCUCACCAGCCUGGGCUCUGUCAUUCGGCCUGCCUGCUUUAAGGAAUACUCAGUCUACCCCAGCACACUCCCUCUGCUUGAAGAGCGGGCUGGAAGGAGAAAGGUGUCCUCUUUCUGCUCAUGUGGAAAUUGCCUGGGAAGCUAGUAAGCUGUUGGCUCUGAAGGCAGUUGGCUGUCCUGAGUUUUCGAGUCCCUUGGAAGGAUUCUGGGGAGUUGGCCGAUUGGCUGCAGACCCGAGCUCAUCUGACGAUGUGAACAGCCUCCUGAGACCUGCAGGAAUGUGAUGACAUCAGUCCUUGUCCCCCUAGCUGGUCCACUUUAGCUCAUGGGAUCCUCUGACGACCUCCCUGGAAGGAGACGCUCCCUUACAGAUGGGGAAGCUGGGCCUUUUGGCUGAAGUCAUUGAUUCCCGAGGUCACACGGCUGUAGGGCAGAAGGUGGCAGGACAGACACGGAUGGCGGCCCCCCUGUUCCGGCUGCUCGCUGUUGAGCCCGUUUGACCUGCUGACCUCGUGUUACACACAAGGAAAUGGAAGUCCUCCGAGGCGAAACAACACCCAGGCGCCAGGACCAUCUGCUACCGGCCCCAGCCCAGAUGAUACAGUUAGAACCUACCCACAGCAUCCUCUCCCGCCUUCAGACAGUUCCAGGAACAAGGAACAUGUAUGACCCCCAUCUCAGAUGCUGCAGACUUUGCCUGGGACCUGUGUGAGUCUGAGCCCUCAGCCCGGGAGAGCCAUCGUCCCUGUGGGGUCCUGUGGCUGGCAGACAGUAGCGGUGGAGUGGAGGAGGGCUACCUGUCCACCCUCCGUACCCACUCUCCUCCCAGCCAUGUGCUUGGACCACGGAUUCCCCGGGCCAGACACACUUUGCUAGGCAGAAGAGCCCCCAACAGUUGCGAAUGCCAUUUCCCUCCCCCCGACAAGGAAAUGAUGCUCUUGAAAGGAAGCCGUGUAAGGAGUGGAGGAGGUCCACGUGUUUUCCUGGAAGCUCGGAGCCUGCCGUGGCCCUGCCGUGGCCCUGCCGUGGCCCCUGCCCUCCCUUUGCCGCCGGUUCCCUCCUCUGGACUCGCCCUGCUCGGAAGCAGCCGUUCGCGGACCUGACCGUACCCCUUUCUGGAAAGCACUGCUGCGGCUGUUAGGUGAGCUGGCGGGAAGGCAGGGUGUUCUGGGCCCGGCUGUGAUGCCAGCCGCGGAGGCCGUGAUGGAGCUUCCGGGCCAUCCUGGCAACGGGCGCGCGUGCAGUUUACGGCGAUCCCGCGCUCGCACCGUGGGGGUGAUGCCGGCGAGAACGACACGGCACGGGGCCAAACGCAAAUUGUUUUAAAACGCACGAGCGAACUUGGUUCAGGUGGUGCCAGAGAAUUCUCGAUUUCAGCGGAGGGUGAUUUUGUGCACGUUUACUGCUCUCAUCCGAUAAAAAUGCGACUGCUCGCGGAGACAUUGGGUUGCGGUUUUAGGAGACGCUGUCAAGGAAAGGCCACAGAUUUAACCCAAUUUGCCGCACUGAGUUUGGUUGCUUUCUUCAAAGCGCCGUCAGCCCUUCAAAUCCGCGAGCUUUCUUUUUCUCUGCGAGAUGGUUACUCUGACCGUUUAGAAUAAUUUGAGUGAGCGACGCUCAACUUGAGCCACUCAAAGUGCCCGAGUGCCCUCAGGUGAGGCCUGUCAGGUGUGUGGUGUGGUUCCUGAUCCCAAGGAGUUACAGAAAGACAGCCUCGAAUAGCAGGGUGUUCAUGGGAAAACGUGGCACGGGCCGUAGGUCCCACCAGGGGUCAGGGAACGAACGGCUGGGGUCACCCACCGUGUAAGCAACACCUGCUCCAUCCCGAGCUGAAUUCACAGUGUACGACCCGUGUAGCUGUAGAGAGGGGGGUCACGCCAGGGUGCAUCAUUUCUGCACUUAGAAGGGUCCUGCCCGUGAUGGAAUGCUCCGUGUCACCGUUUUGAAACACUUGGUCACCAGGAGCCUGGAGCUGUGUAUUUGCAUUUUGUGCCAAAGCCGUUUGCUUUUCUUUCUGGACACACAGCUCGACCCCAUCGCUCACCGUCUCUUGCAGCCAGGAAUGGCCACGUGACCAGUUUUAGCCAAAGGAAUGUGAGUACCGUUUGCGCGCCUGGCCCUCCCCCAACACGAGCUUGGUUCAGGGGGGUGCCAGAGAGUUCUGGAGCUCAGCGGAGAGUUACUUGUGCACUUUCACAGCCGCCAGCCAGCCACGAUGCAGCUGCUCACGGGGUCAUUGGGUUGUGCUUCUAGAAGCUGCUGUCAAGGAAAGUAGACCAGGCUUCCCCCCCUGUGGCUCACUGGGCUGUGUCCCCCAGGGGGAUGUGGAAGCCCGCGCUGAGGCUGGCGUAGCUGCUGUUGGCCUGUGUCUGGGCGUCCGGAUAACUGUGCAGAGCAGGAGGCCCCCUCCCUGUCCCGGGCACUCGGAGCUGCUCAGGACUCUCACCGGAGCAAAAAGUAAAUGUCUCUCGUCAAGAGAUUCCAGACUCAGUUCUGUGUUUUCUGUAGCCCCACCUGCCGUGAUGCUUCUUUUCAGAGGAAGGAAGUCUUUCUCAGAAGUCUCCCCGCGACUCCCUCCCCUUGGAUUGUUGUUUGGAAUUCAGCCUCGUGGCCUGUCCCUACACCGAUCCCCGUCCAGGGCACGGGCCCUGCCACCAUCCGCUUGGAUCAUCAGGACUUGCUCCUAGAAGGCCCGUGGCUCUGCACAGCUCAGCACAACCGGGCUUUGAACAGCGGGCAAUGAGAGACACUUGCCAGUGGGAGAGCAGCCAAACAGUAUUUGCCACAGGGCAGGAAAAGGAAGGCUGUGGGUUUUCUUUUUCCCAGCUUCAUGGAGAUAAAAUCGACUUAUAACAUCGCAUAAGCUUCAAGUGCACAAGGUGAUGAUCUGAUCCACGUAGGUAUCAGGAAACAGUUACCACAAUAAGGUUAGUGAAUACAUCCAUCACCUCACAUAAUCACAUUUGUUUUGUGUGGUGAGAAUAUUAAGGAUGUACUCUCUUAGCAA
Molecule: long non-coding RNA, 3481 nt
Organism: Leopardus geoffroyi (Geoffroy's cat)
Lineage: Eukaryota; Metazoa; Chordata; Mammalia; Carnivora; Felidae
Exons: 8
Source: RefSeq, a predicted model, not a curated record